This 301-nucleotide ribosomal RNA is filed under the name uncultured bacterium. Its description in RNAcentral is "partial 16S ribosomal RNA". It matches the Rfam family "Bacterial small subunit ribosomal RNA", at positions 509 to 807 of the family's 1533-position model. The record is from RNAcentral.
CAGCAGCCGCGGUAAUACGAAGGGGGCUAGCGUUGUUCGGAUUUACUGGGCGUAAAGCGCACGUAGGCGGAUCGAUCAGUCAGGGGUGAAAUCCCAGAGCUCAACUCUGGAACUGCCUUUGAUACUGUCGAUCUGGAGUAUGGAAGAGGUGAGUGGAAUUCCGAGUGUAGAGGUGAAAUUCGUAGAUAUUCGGAGGAACACCAGUGGCGAAGGCGGCUCACUGGUCUGUAACUGACGCUGAGGAGCGAAAGCGUGGGGAGCAAACAGGAUUAGAUACCCGAGUAGUCCAUGUCUCUUAUAC